GGCUCUGUGGCACAAUAGAAAGCAUGUUGGCUUUCUAAGCUAUGCUGCUUAGUUUGAGCCAGGCCACUGCUUCAGAGUUUGUGGGUUCAAAUCCCACCAGAGUCA
Transfer RNA from Pelodiscus sinensis (Chinese soft-shelled turtle), 105 nucleotides. It matches the Rfam family "tRNA". Rfam says of the family: Transfer RNA (tRNA) molecules are approximately 80 nucleotides in length. Their secondary structure includes four short double-helical elements and three loops (D, anti-codon, and T loops). The record is from Rfam. NCBI's taxonomy places the organism in Eukaryota, Metazoa, Chordata, Testudines, Trionychidae.